RNAcentral lists this ribosomal RNA (1316 nucleotides) under Boros schneideri. Its description in RNAcentral is "eukaryotic LSU rRNA". It matches the Rfam family "Eukaryotic large subunit ribosomal RNA", at positions 70 to 1119 of the family's 3401-position model. Lineage: Eukaryota; Metazoa; Arthropoda; Insecta; Coleoptera; Boridae. The record is from RNAcentral.
CAGGAUUCCCUCAGUAGCGGCGAGCGAACAGGGAAGAGCCCAGCACCGAAUCCCGCGGCCGAAACCGGACGCCGGGAAAUGUGGUGUUAGGGAGGGUCCGCUAUCCCGAGAUUGUGCGGUGCGUCCAAGUCCAUCUUGAACGGGGCCACAGCCCAUAGAGGGUGCCAGGCCCGUAGUGACCGCUGCCGAUCGCGGGAGGAUCUCUCCUCAGAGUCGGGUUGCUUGAGAGUGCAGCCCUAAGUGGGUGGUAAACUCCAUCUAAGGCUAAAUAUGACCACGAGACCGAUAGCGAACAAGUACCGUGAGGGAAAGUUGAAAAGAACUUUGAAGAGAGAGUUCAAUAGUACGUGAAACCGUUCAGGGGUAAACCUGAGAAACCCGAAAGGUCGACAGGGGAGAUUCAGCGUGUCUCGGUGUCCGUGUGUUAUUGGUUUGAGACGGUAAGGCGCUUGCGUCGAUCUGCUCGAUCAACAACAGCACGGUUCCGAACGCGUGCACUUCUCCCCCAGUAGGACGUCGCGAUCCGUUGGGUGCCGGUCUAAGGGCUGCGGUGGAGUCCGUCCGGACGGUUCGCCGUACCGGACGAACCCGUGGAUUCCCGGCCGGCUCGCUCGACGGUAUACAGAUGGCGCGGGGCCGCUUCUUAGUGAGCGUCCGGCCCGUGGCAAGUGCGCUCGUCGUGUUGGUGAUCGUGCCUGGCACGAUCCUAACCCCGGGCGGCUGUUCGCUACGGUGUUCUCGGACAGACCUCGUUGAAACGCCGAUCUGCGACGCUAUAGCUUUGGGUACUUUCAGGACCCGUCUUGAAACACGGACCAAGGAGUCUAGCAUGUGCGCGAGUCAUUGGGACAUGACUAAACCUAAAGGCGCAAUGAAAGUGAAGGCCGCGCAUUAGUGCGGCCGAGGGAGGAUGUGCGGCGGUUUCGGCCGUCGUUCCGCACUCCCGGGGCGUCUCGUUCUCAUUGCGAGAAGAGGCGCACCAAGAGCGUACACGCUGGGACCCGAAAGAUGGUGAACUAUGCCUGGUCAGGACGAAGUCAGGGGAAACCCUGAUGGAGGUCCGUAGCGAUUCUGACGUGCAAAUCGAUCGUCGGAACUGGGUAUAGGGGCGAAAGACUAAUCGAACCAUCUAGUAGCUGGUUCCCUCCGAAGUUUCCCUCAGGAUAGCUGGCGCUCGUAGCGUACGAGUUUCAUCCGGUAAAGCGAAUGAUUAGAGGCAUUGGGGUCGAAACGGCCUCAACCUAUUCUCAAACUUUAAAUGGGUGAGAUCUCCGGCUUGCUCGAACUAUCAAUGAAGCCGGAGACUCGAAUCAGAG